Molecule: long non-coding RNA, 99 nt
Organism: Perognathus longimembris pacificus (Pacific pocket mouse)
Lineage: Eukaryota; Metazoa; Chordata; Mammalia; Rodentia; Heteromyidae
Exons: 2
Source: RefSeq, a predicted model, not a curated record
UGCAUUAAAACGCUAUAAAUGAGUAUGAAAGUCAAUUAAUUACUUUAUCUUGGAUUUGCACCAAAUUUUUGGCUCCUAAGGCCACUGGAUUACUAUUAU